RNAcentral lists this ribosomal RNA (433 nucleotides) under uncultured bacterium. RNAcentral's name for it is "bacterial SSU rRNA". It matches the Rfam family "Bacterial small subunit ribosomal RNA", at positions 355 to 786 of the family's 1533-position model. The record is from RNAcentral.
UGAGGAAUAUUGGUCAAUGGUCGGGAGACUGAACCAGCCAAGCCGCGUGAGGGAUGAAGGUACAGAGUAUCGUAAACCUCUUUUGUCAGGGAACAAAAGGCGCCACGUGUGGCGCUCCGAGUGUACCUGAAGAAGAAGCAUCGGCUAACUCCGUGCCAGCAGCCGCGGUAAUACGGUGGAUGCGAGCGUUAUCCGGAUUUAUUGGGUUUAAAGGGUGCGUAGGCGGCGAGUUAAGUCAGCGGUAAAAGCCCGGGGCUCAACCCCGGCCCGCCGUUGAAACUGGCUUGCUUGAGUUGGAGAGAAGUAGGCGGAAUGCGCGGUGUAGCGGUGAAAUGCUUAGAUAUCGCGCAGAACUCCGAUUGCGAAGGCAGCCUACCGGCUCCACACUGACGCUGAGGCACGAAAGCGUGGGUAUCGAACAGGAUUAGAUACC